Molecule: ribosomal RNA, 1420 nt
Filed under: Staphylococcus saprophyticus
Lineage: Bacteria; Bacillati; Bacillota; Bacilli; Caryophanales; Staphylococcaceae
Description: bacterial SSU rRNA
Rfam family: Bacterial small subunit ribosomal RNA
Source: RNAcentral
AAGUCGAGCGAACAGAUAAGGAGCUUGCUCCUUUGACGUUAGCGGCGGACGGGUGAGUAACACGUGGGUAACCUACCUAUAAGACUGGGAUAACUUCGGGAAACCGGAGCUAAUACCGGAUAACAUUUGGAACCGCAUGGUUCUAAAGUGAAAGAUGGUUUUGCUAUCACUUAUAGAUGGACCCGCGCCGUAUUAGCUAGUUGGUAAGGUAACGGCUUACCAAGGCAACGAUACGUAGCCGACCUGAGAGGGUGAUCGGCCACACUGGAACUGAGACACGGUCCAGACUCCUACGGGAGGCAGCAGUAGGGAAUCUUCCGCAAUGGGCGAAAGCCUGACGGAGCAACGCCGCGUGAGUGAUGAAGGGUUUCGGCUCGUAAAACUCUGUUAUUAGGGAAGAACAAACGUGUAAGUAACUGUGCACGUCUUGACGGUACCUAAUCAGAAAGCCACGGCUAACUACGUGCCAGCAGCCGCGGUAAUACGUAGGUGGCAAGCGUUAUCCGGAAUUAUUGGGCGUAAAGCGCGCGUAGGCGGUUUCUUAAGUCUGAUGUGAAAGCCCACGGCUCAACCGUGGAGGGUCAUUGGAAACUGGGAAACUUGAGUGCAGAAGAGGAAAGUGGAAUUCCAUGUGUAGCGGUGAAAUGCGCAGAGAUAUGGAGGAACACCAGUGGCGAAGGCGACUUUCUGGUCUGUAACUGACGCUGAUGUGCGAAAGCGUGGGGAUCAAACAGGAUUAGAUACCCUGGUAGUCCACGCCGUAAACGAUGAGUGCUAAGUGUUAGGGGGUUUCCGCCCCUUAGUGCUGCAGCUAACGCAUUAAGCACUCCGCCUGGGGAGUACGACCGCAAGGUUGAAACUCAAAGGAAUUGACGGGGACCCGCACAAGCGGUGGAGCAUGUGGUUUAAUUCGAAGCAACGCGAAGAACCUUACCAAAUCUUGACAUCCUUUGAAAACUCUAGAGAUAGAGCCUUCCCCUUCGGGGGACAAAGUGACAGGUGGUGCAUGGUUGUCGUCAGCUCGUGUCGUGAGAUGUUGGGUUAAGUCCCGCAACGAGCGCAACCCUUAAGCUUAGUUGCCAUCAUUAAGUUGGGCACUCUAGGUUGACUGCCGGUGACAAACCGGAGGAAGGUGGGGAUGACGUCAAAUCAUCAUGCCCCUUAUGAUUUGGGCUACACACGUGCUACAAUGGACAAUACAAAGGGCAGCUAAACCGCGAGGUCAUGCAAAUCCCAUAAAGUUGUUCUCAGUUCGGAUUGUAGUCUGCAACUCGACUACAUGAAGCUGGAAUCGCUAGUAAUCGUAGAUCAGCAUGCUACGGUGAAUACGUUCCCGGGUCUUGUACACACCGCCCGUCACACCACGAGAGUUUGUAACACCCGAAGCCGGUGGAGUAACCAUUUAUGGAGCUAGCCGUCG